UUCAAAGUGAAGGUUUCCCCAGUUCGUAGCAGUUUUAGUCAAGCAAAUGAUCUCCUGUGAGAGAAUAGUCUUAUUCUUCAGUGUUACCCUGGAGAAUUACAUCUAUUUCACCCAUCCUGUGCAUGAGUGUCUGCACUUGCCUAAAAGUGUCUGAACAAACUGACCAAGGAGUACCAUAAUACAACUCCCAUUCAAAGCAGGCCUUUGCCUGUCUGGUA
This 218-nucleotide long non-coding RNA is filed under the name Anser cygnoides (Swan goose). RNAcentral's name for it is "lncRNA (ENSACDG00005001929.1)". The record is from RNAcentral. Lineage: Eukaryota; Metazoa; Chordata; Aves; Anseriformes; Anatidae.